UUUUCACUCUAUAUCCCAUUAGAAAGGUAAACGCUCUCCGUUUUCUUCCCAUUUCAGAUUAAUAGCAAUAAUAAAUGGAGUACUAGUCCCUCAAAUUUUGAGGGGAUUUUUUUCCUUCAUCCAAUCGAGUUGUUAGUUUCUAAGAGCUGUCUGAUCUGUCCUCCUACUCCUGGAAAUCAAACUAUCUCGUUUGUUGGUUGUAUUCGCACCAAAAUCGUCACGAAACCAUAAGUUUCCGUUAGUUUCUCGGGAAUAUCUCCCCUCGCUCACCCAAUGAUGGUUUUAUUAUUAUCCCCUUAAGUUCAAAUGUCAUCAGUUUUCUCAUUUACUCAUUCUUUGAUUUUGUCAUUGCAAACUAAAGCUAGGAUGAACGUUGACCCAGUCUCUGCAUUGGAAAACAGCUGUAGUUUAUAGCCAGAAUCACCUCCAAAAUUUUCGAUUUUCGGGCUACGGUUUGUGGAUUAUUGAUUUUCAGGCAAUUGGGUGUAUUGGGUUUCUGCUGAAUUGCGGAAAUUCUCUGAACUUGCGAUCAGGGAUUCGUUCUCUGUUCUGUUUUUAUCGGAGCUAAUUAGGGAGGAAUUUGGGUUCUUGGUCUUGAGGAUUGUAUUAUUCUUUUGAUGGAGACGGACGCUAAGGUUGUUAGUGGCUCUAAAAGUAAGGCGCUAGUUGUUACAGACCUGCUGAAGGUUGAGGAUCGCCGUGUUAAUGGAGAGGAGGAUAGUGAGUCUAAUUCGUUGUUGCCGCCUCGGCGAGGUGGAAUGUCGAGAAAGUCGGAGAAGACGCGGCUGAAGGUGCAGUGGAACGAUAAGAAUGGGAAUAAACUCGCUGAGGUGAUGGAAUUCUAUCCUAGUGAUGCAAGUGACUCUGAUGAUGAGGAUUCGGAUUCUUGCAUCUGUACCGUAAUGUAGAUAUCAUUCAGUGCACCAUUAUCAAAACAAUCUGCUGGAUAAAUUAUUGGGAGCAUGCAUCCUCUCCAACUUUGAUGAUUAUGGAGCAAAUUGGCUUCCUCUCAUCUCAUCUUGCUGUUGGAAGGAUAGAUCAAAAGGUCCAAAGCUACAGAGUCUCAUGUUUGGCAUGAUUCAUUAGCUAUUCAUCAAAGCAAAGUCUAAGACCAUUCCUUCGGUGAGAUUUUGUGUGUUACCAGUAGCCGGAUGAUUCUUCCUCAAGUCUUGUUGACGUUAAUCACCUGUACUGAAUGUUUCCAUUCGAUAUCACUCUCUCCUACAAACAGUAAGACAUAAAAGAGACAGCCAAAGCCCACUGACACCGUACUAUAAUGAGAAACACAAAACAAGCGGAAGAUGAUCAAAGAAUGAGAAACACAAACGCAAGCAAAACGACAGAUUGUUGACACCGUCUAAAAUAGCCAAGAAAGAUAAGACAAACUCCCUGUGGCUGUGCUGCUAUGAUAAUUUGCAUCAUUGUACGAAAAUCAGCAAUGUUUACCAGUUUUCUUUCUUGAUAGGUGUAUAGAAGUAGGUUGUGUAUAGAAGUAGGUUGAGUUUGAGUUUUAUAUCCCUGUUCGAUACGACCAUUUCCCGUGAGGACCUGAUAUGUGAGAU
Molecule: RNA transcript, 1562 nt
Organism: Carya illinoinensis
Lineage: Eukaryota; Viridiplantae; Streptophyta; Magnoliopsida; Fagales; Juglandaceae
Exons: 3
Source: RefSeq, a predicted model, not a curated record